This 253-nucleotide ribosomal RNA is filed under the name uncultured bacterium. Its description in RNAcentral is "partial 16S ribosomal RNA". It matches the Rfam family "Bacterial small subunit ribosomal RNA", at positions 524 to 776 of the family's 1533-position model. The record is from RNAcentral.
UACGAACCGUACAAACGUUAUUCGGAAUCACUGGGCUUAAAGGGUGCGUAGGCGGCCAUGUAAGUGAGGCGUGAAAUCCCUCGGCUCAACCGAGGAACUGCGCUUCAUACUGCAUGGCUUGAGGGAGACAGGGGUAAGCGGAACUGAUGGUGGAGCGGUGAAAUGCGUUGAUAUCAUCAGGAACCCCGGUGGCGAAAGCGGCUUACUGGGUCUCUUCUGACGCUGAGGUACGAAAGCUAGGGGAGCGAACGGG